This 1719-nucleotide long non-coding RNA is filed under the name Sus scrofa (pig). Its description in RNAcentral is "lncRNA (ENSSSCG00055026286.1)". The record is from RNAcentral. Lineage: Eukaryota; Metazoa; Chordata; Mammalia; Artiodactyla; Suidae.
GAAAAGGAGGUGUGAAAAUUAAAUCUGCUGCCAGAAACUCUUGAAAACCAACCUCGAGGUUGGAAUGGACCUAUGUGCAUUGCUGAACAAGGACAUGCCUCUUGUUCUUUCCCACUUGGGAGUUUGUAUCUAGUUCCAGCUCUCAUCUACCACAAAGAAGCAUUACUCAUGUGAGUGCUCCUACAAUUGCUUGCAGAGACAUAACAUUGGCCUUCACUGAUAAUUGUAGCCAUAAAGCAUUUGCCUUUUCCAUCAAAGAAUAAAAGAUAAUGUUCAAGAUCUUCAUUAUCCUGUAUUCUGCAUUAAAAUUUCUUUCCUCUGGAAAAUGCCUGCCUCCAAAUCACUGGCUGAUUUGAAAUUCAUAAGAAUUUUGUUAUGAUAGAAAUGUUAAAUUGGACAAAAGUGUUCAGAAUAGCUUGUUUUUUCUCACUUGUAUUUUCAUGGCAGAGGAUAUACAUUUUUUUUUCCUACAAGGAAUAUUUGUAGUAAUUUUACCUAAGAAUCCUACAUGCUAAUUGUAUUAGACAGACUAUAUCUCUAGCAUUGUCAUUCCAUUAGAGAUUUUGCAAUAAAUCUUAAUGAUACAUGCAAAUACACCAAUCUAAUGGUCCAUUAUAAAAGAAAUGACUGACUGUUACCAUUUGUUUCCAGGAAUUAUCUUAUUUCUCAACUCCUGCUGGUAAAAAUUUCCAGGAGGCAGGGAACUCAAUAUAUAUAUAUAUUUUUUAACAGCAAGGCAGAUCAGAGUGAAAAGGGAAGACUAAGAAAAAGUAUCGCUCUUUUCUUGGAUCUGCAUUAAAAUUUUAUAAACUUUCAUAACCUGGCAUACUUUUCAGCUUUUUGAUUUGAAAACCACCUAAAAGUAGUUAUAUGUUGAUAUUUUUCUUUUAUUUACCUUGCUUUGGCACAUGGUUUUUUUUUUUUUUUUUUUUUUUUUUUUUUUUUUUUGGUCACCCCUGUGGCAUGCAGAAGUUCCCAGGCCAUGGAUUGAACCCACACCAUAGCAGUGACCCAAGCCACAGUAGUUGGGUCCUUAACCCACUGAGCCACCAGGGAACUCUGUCCCUUCAUCUAAUGCUGGACAUUUAGGUUGCUUCCAGGUCUUGGCUAUUAUAAAUAUUGCCGCUAUUAACACUGGGUUUGUGUAUCUUUUCAAAUUAGUUUUUGUCUUUUCUGGUUGUGUGCCCAGGAGUGAGAUUGUUGAAUCAUAUGGCAACUCUAUUUAUAGUUUUUUAAGGAACCUCCAUACUGUUUUUCCACAGUGGCUACACCAGUUUACAUUCCCACCAGUGGUGUGGGGGUGUUCCCUUUUCUCCACACCCUCUCCAGCAUUUAUUGUCUGUAGACUUUUUGAUGAUGGCCAUUCUGACUGGUGUGAAGUGUUACCUCAUUGUAGUUUUGAUUUGCGUUUCACUAAUAAUUAGUGAUCUUGAACAUCUUUUCAGGUGCAUGUUGGCCAUCUGUGUGUUUUUGGAGAAAUAUCAGUUUAGGUCUUAGGCCCAUUUUUUUGAUUGGAUUGUUUGCUUCUUUUGAUUUUGAGCUGUUUGUAUAUUUUGGAAAUAAAGCCCUUGUUGGUUACAUUAUUUGCAAAUAUUUUCUCCCAUUCUGUAGGUUGUCUUUUUGUUUUGUUUAUGAUUUCCUUUGCUAUGCAAAAACUUUUAAGUUUAAUUAGGUUCCAUUUGUUUAUUUUUGCUUUUAUUUCCCUUACCCUAGGAGAAG